RNAcentral lists this ribosomal RNA (253 nucleotides) under uncultured prokaryote. Its description in RNAcentral is "partial 16S ribosomal RNA". It matches the Rfam family "Bacterial small subunit ribosomal RNA", at positions 524 to 776 of the family's 1533-position model. The record is from RNAcentral.
UACGGAGGGUGCGAGCGUUAAUCGGAAUUACUGGGCGUAAAGCGUGCGCAGGCGGUUUCGUAAGACAGAGGUGAAAUCCCCGGGCUCAACCUGGGAAUGGCCUUUGUGACUGCGAGGCUAGAGUGUGACAGAGGGGGGUAGAAUUCCACGUGUAGCAGUGAAAUGCGUAGAGAUGUGGAGGAAUACCGAUGGCGAAGGCAGCCCCCUGGGUUACUACUGACGCUCAUGCACGAAAGCGUGGGGAGCAAACAGG